Molecule: non-coding RNA, 114 nt
Organism: Poecilia formosa (Amazon molly)
Lineage: Eukaryota; Metazoa; Chordata; Actinopteri; Cyprinodontiformes; Poeciliidae
Source: Rfam
GUUGGAUAUGGAGACAUCUAUCCACAAACCCUGCUUGGCAAAAUUGUAGGAGGGCUUUGCUGUAUAGCAGGUGUGCUAGUCAUUGCUCUUCCCAUCCCCAUAAUUGUCAACAAC